CUGAAAACCUAGCUUACUCCAUUCUUAUGAAUAUACCACCCUAACACAUACUAAAUAAAACAUUUUGUACAUUAAGUAAAGGCGAUUAAAAAAUGUCUUAAAGCUAUAGAAAUUAGUACCGCAAGGGAAAAGUGAAAUAUUAAUGAAAAACCUCAAGCACAAAAAAGUAGAGCUACAAUCUCGUACCUUUUGCAUCAUGGUCUAACUAGUUCAACCAAGCAAAAUGAAUUUUAAGUUUGACUUCCCGAAACUAGGUGAGCUACUUAAAAACAGCCUUACGGGCCAACCCGUCUCUGUUGCAAAAGAGUGGGAAGAUUUUUUAAGUAGAGGUGACAGACCUACCGAACCUAGAGAUAGCUGGUUAUUCAGGAAAAGGAUUUAAGUCCUACCUUAAGUUUAUUGU
RNAcentral lists this ribosomal RNA (403 nucleotides) under Microhyla mukhlesuri. Its description in RNAcentral is "partial large subunit ribosomal RNA". The stretch from base 163 to 403 matches the Rfam family "Bacterial large subunit ribosomal RNA", at positions 566 to 894 of the family's 2925-position model. The record is from RNAcentral. Lineage: Eukaryota; Metazoa; Chordata; Amphibia; Anura; Microhylidae.